GGUUAAGCGACUAAGCGUACACGGUGGAUGCCCUGGCAGUCAGAGGCGAUGAAGGACGUGCUAAUCUGCGAUAAGCGUCGGUGAGGUGAUAUGAACCGUUAUAACCGGCGAUUUCCGAAUGGGGAAACCCAGUGUGUUUCGACACACUAUCAUUAACUGAAUCCAUAGGUUAAUGAGGCGAACCGGGGGAACUGAAACAUCUAAGUACCCCGAGGAAAAGAAAUCAACCGAGAUUCCCCCAGUAGCGGCGAGCGAACGGGGAGGAGCCCAGAGCCUGAAUCAGUGUGUGUGUUAGUGGAAGCGUCUGGAAAGGCGUGCGAUACAGGGUGACAGCCCCGUACACAAAAAUGCACAUAUUGUGAGCUCGAUGAGUAGGGCGGGACACGUGGUAUCCUGUCUGAAUAUGGGGGGACCAUCCUCCAAGGCUAAAUACUCCUGACUGACCGAUAGUGAACCAGUACCGUGAGGGAAAGGCGAAAAGAACCCCGGCGAGGGGAGUGAAAAAGAACCUGAAACCGUGUACGUACAAGCAGUGGGAGCCUCUUAAUGGGGUGACUGCGUACCUUUUGUAUAAUGGGUCAGCGACUUAUAUUCUGUAGCAAGGUUAACCGAAUAGGGGAGCCGAAGGGAAACCGAGUCUUAACUGGGCGUUAAGUUGCAGGGUAUAGACCCGAAACCCGGUGAUCUAGCCAUGGGCAGGUUGAAGGUUGGGUAACACUAACUGGAGGACCGAACCGACUAAUGUUGAAAAAUUAGCGGAUGACUUGUGGCUGGGGGUGAAAGGCCAAUCAAACCGGGAGAUAGCUGGUUCUCCCCGAAAGCUAUUUAGGUAGCGCCUCGUGAAUUCAUCUCCGGGGGUAGAGCACUGUUUCGGCAAGGGGGUCAUCCCGACUUACCAACCCGAUGCAAACUGCGAAUACCGGAGAAUGUUAUCACGGGAGACACACGGCGGGUGCUAACGUCCGUCGUGAAGAGGGAAACAACCCAGACCGCCAGCUAAGGUCCCAAAGUCAUGGUUAAGUGGGAAACGAUGUGGGAAGGCCCAGACAGCCAGGAUGUUGGCUUAGAAGCAGCCAUCAUUUAAAGAAAGCGUAAUAGCUCACUGGUCGAGUCGGCCUGCGCGGAAGAUGUAACGGGGCUAAACCAUGCACCGAAGCUGCGGCAGCGACACUAUGUGUUGUUGGGUAGGGGAGCGUUCUGUAAGCCUGUGAAGGUGGCCUGUGAGGGUUGCUGGAGGUAUCAGAAGUGCGAAUGCUGACAUAAGUAACGAUAAAGCGGGUGAAAAGCCCGCUCGCCGGAAGACCAAGGGUUCCUGUCCAACGUUAAUCGGGGCAGGGUGAGUCGACCCCUAAGGCGAGGCCGAAAGGCGUAGUCGAUGGGAAACAGGUUAAUAUUCCUGUACUUGGUGUUACUGCGAAGAGGGGACGGAGAAGGCUAUGUUGGCCGGGCGACGGUUGUCCCGGUUUAAGCGUGUAGGCUGAUUUUCCAGGCAAAUCCGGAAAAUCAAGGCUGAGGCGUGAUGACGAGGCACUACGGUGCUGAAGCAACAAAUGCCCUGCUUCCAGGAAAAGCCUCUAAGCAUCAGGUAACAUCAAAUCGUACCCCAAACCGACACAGGUGGUCAGGUAGAGAAUACCAAGGCGCUUGAGAGAACUCGGGUGAAGGAACUAGGCAAAAUGGUGCCGUAACUUCGGGAGAAGGCACGCUGAUAUGUAGGUGAAG
This 1722-nucleotide ribosomal RNA is filed under the name Escherichia coli. Its description in RNAcentral is "partial 23S ribosomal RNA". It matches the Rfam family "Bacterial large subunit ribosomal RNA", at positions 1 to 1767 of the family's 2925-position model. The record is from RNAcentral. Lineage: Bacteria; Pseudomonadati; Pseudomonadota; Gammaproteobacteria; Enterobacterales; Enterobacteriaceae.